Eriocheir sinensis (Chinese mitten crab) is the source of this 1908-nucleotide long non-coding RNA. RefSeq lists it as uncharacterized. The transcript is spliced from 2 exons. NCBI's taxonomy places the organism in Eukaryota, Metazoa, Arthropoda, Malacostraca, Decapoda, Varunidae. The record is from RefSeq and is a predicted model, not a curated record.
GCAGCCCAGUACAAAUGUUAGGAAACUUUAGUGGGCCGUCCUCGUGAGUCAACACGCUCACUGGUGUUCUCCCUCAGCAGGUGUGUGAAUGCAAUGUACCUGAAAGACGUUAAUUGGUGAACCAAUUCUUACUAUGUAAAAUCAAUCAAUCAGUCAAUCAGAAAAAGAAAAUAUAAUUAAAAAGAAAAAUUGGAAGUAAGAAAGAAAAGGGAAAAGGAUGCUGCGCCGGAAGCCGCGGCGAGGAUUCCUUAUGAUGCUUGUGCGCGUCCCCGAGGCCCAUCGGUCCUUCAUCCAAGAACCGAUAAACGCGGUGACCGGCGCCUUCACGGCAUUUAUGAUUAAUUUUAUAAUCCAGUCUGGUAGUUUUAAGAAGCGAGUUCUUGCAUCCGCCCUAUUCGAAUCGGCGGGGCGGUGGAGCGCCAGCGAGCCCAAGGUCUCCCAGGCGAGCAUGGCAGGACUGACGGGCUCCCGGCAGGGCGCCUCGGCGUCCAUCGGGACCCCAACGGAGGUGCCGGAGAUCUUUCGGCUACAACGCCGGGCAGGUGGGGCUCGUUAGCCGUGGUAGGCAAUUCACCUAGGAGAGCAAACUCCGAACAAUAAACCCGGGCAGGUGAGGUUCGUUAGCCAUGGUAGGCAAUUCACCUAGGAGAGCAAACUCCGAACAAUAAACCCGGGCAGGUGGAGCUCGUCAGCCGUGGUAGGCAGUCUGCCUAGGAGAGCAAACUCCGAACAAUAAACCCGGGCAGGUGGAGCUCGUCAGCCGUGGUAGGCAGUCUGCCUAGGAGAGCAAACUCCGAACAAUAAACCCGGGCAGGUGGAGCUCGUCAGCCGUGGUAGGCAGUCUGCCUAGGAGAGCAAACUCCGAACAAUAAACCCGGGCAGGUGGAGCUCGUCAGCCGUGGUAGGCAGUCUGCCUAGGAGAGCAAACUCCGAACAAUAAACCCGGGCAGGUGGAGCUCGUCAGCCGUGGUAGGCAGUCUGCCUAGGAGAGCAAACUCCGAACAAUAAACCGGGGCUUGUGGUGCUCGUUAGAUGUCGUAGACAAUCCACGUGAUGGGAACACCAAAGAAAAGGAAAAUAAAAAGGAACAUCUGAAAAAGGAAAAUAUAGUAACAAAACAUCAAGAAAAUAAAAUAAAAAAUACAGAUCAUCCACCUUCAGGCCCUAACAUCUCUAAAAUUAUGGGUGAGUCUUUUCUGGGGAGAAAGAGGCUCAUCCAGACCAAGGAACAUCAAAAAGGGAUGAUAUAGAAAGGAACACCAAAAAAAUGGGAAAAAGAGAACAAAACAUCGCAAAAGAAAAUUAACAGCAAUAACAGAACAACGUCAAGAAAAGUAACAUACAAAGAAACAUCAUCCACCAUUCGGCCCCAAACUAACAUCACCAAAAUUAUGGGUGGGUCUCUUCUGGGAGGAAAGCGGCUCACCCAGACCAACGAAGAACAUCAACAAGAGGAUGAUAUGAAAUAAAAGAACAUUAAAAACACGAAGAAAAGAAAUAAGAAGAAAAAGAACAGAAAAAAAACAUCGGAAAAGAAAAACAAGAAGAAAAACACAUCAAGAGAAGAAAAAUAUAAGAAACAUCAUCCACCUUUCGGCCCCUAACUAACAUCACCAAAAUUAUGGGUGGGUCUCUUCUGGGAGGAAAGCGGCUCACCCAGACCAAUGAACAUCAACAAGAGGAUGAUAUGAAAUAAAAGAACAUCAAAAAAGAAAAACAACAGCAAAGAAAACAAAGAAAAAGAUAAAGAAAAGAAAAGGAAAAAGAAACAAAAAAGAAAAAGAAAAACACCAAAAUAAAAUAAAACAAAAACAAAAAAAUAAUCCAAAUAAAUAAAUAAAUAAACAAAUACAGAAUACAGUAAAAUUAACGAACUAACUAACUAAUUCAAACUGUCUAACUAUUAAA